Molecule: non-coding RNA, 2041 nt
Organism: Odocoileus virginianus texanus
Lineage: Eukaryota; Metazoa; Chordata; Mammalia; Artiodactyla; Cervidae
Source: RefSeq, a predicted model, not a curated record
GCGGGGGUGGGGAAGAAAGAUAAAACUCUUUUCCCAAUAGGUGCAGCAGACACGGAAUGUAAGACCAUGCUGGUCAUCAAGUGCAAAGGAUUUCUCACAAAAGCAGAACUUCUUCAGCAGUCAGGGAACAGCUCUGACAAUUUAACAUAUUGAAAAGAUGUUUAUGAAGUGGUGAUCCAAGACCACAUGUGUAAGGAUCCUACUGCUAGUCUCAUAUUUCCCUGAGCGAACACAUCAGGGAGGCACAAAUGUGGCAGGAGCACCACUCAGGCCACAGGGAGAGCUGAGCGGACCUUCGUACAUCGCAGAGCAUCUUCCGGGGGCAAGAAGGCAACCGUGAGGGGUUCCUCCUCCUCAUAAGCGACACCAGAGUAGGCUUGGGCGGAACGUAACUGCUACUGUGCAGAGCACAGACCCCUUCUUACGACGUUCUCCAGGGACGUCAAAGGCAGCCAACAGCUGAGCAGCGCGUAACCGAGUCGCCCUUUCCUGACCCAGAGAGACUCCAACCCUCCAGGAUGGUCACCACAGCAACCCGAGACCUCCGAGCACGAGCGCUCUCUGAAGGCGCAACACUGCCCCCUACUGGUGAGAGCCAGGUCCAGAUUCUGUGUGAGCUGCUCUUCGACAAGACACCCACAAAGCUACGUCUGCAGGAAGCUUGCAUCUGAACCCACUAUGCCAUCAGACCACAUUUGAGAAGAGGCAACCGAGUCACAACAGAGAAGUUAGAUAAGCUGCCUGCCGUCACACAGCUAGUAAGUAGCAGAGCUAACGGUUCCUGCUAGAAGUCACAGAGUAAAGGUACUUCAGGAGAGCCGACGCGUGUUAGUGGGCUUAGGAGUCUCCCACUAGUUACUAGGUGAGUGAUGUAAACGCAGGGUAUGGACAGGGUUCUUUCUCCUUGGCGUCGAAGCCAGAACUGGGCACAUGGUAGGACUGAAAUGUUUGUGAAGUGACAGAUGAGAAAAAAAAGUCAUUAACUGUCAAAAAGCAGUUUCCUUACCACAGUUUAUCACAUGAGCCUACCAGUGACUGUAAGGUAUUUAAAUUAAGAAAUAAGUUCUAUUACAAAUUUUAUUCAAAAAUCAAGAAGAAAGACAAAUAAACUUCAGUAGUAAUGUUCAUGUCAUGCUGAGCACUCUAGGACUUGCUGUCUGUUUUGUUCAAUGCUGACCUGUUCCCUACAGAGUGUGAGGGGACAGUAACCGCUGGAACAAAACCCAGAAAUGAGCCAGAGCAAAUAAAAAAAAGAGGGUCUAUAAGAAGGGAGAAACUUUUAAAAUGAAAACAAAACACAGGGUAUCAGGAAAUGAGAAAACCAUGCAAAUAGGCAGGGUUCACUGAGAUCAUGUGAAGCGAUCUCACCUCAAAGCAAGGGGUGAGAGCCACGAGCCUCUGGUGCCAUUUCCGCCCUGAUACUCCUGCCUGUCAGGGCGCCCCGGAGCCCAAGGAGCAGUCCUCCAAGGCCCGAGAGAGGAGCUGAGGGCUUCAGCUGGUCCCUCCUCCUGCCUGCCUCUCGCGCUCGAUGGCGUCUGCUGAUUGGCAACACAGUUUUCUCUGAGACACAGAAAGACUCACUAAGCUAGAAGGAACCAGAGACAGCCCAGCCUUGACAUCGCCCUGGCUGCCUCCAGGGGCCCUCAGGGGAGGGCAAAGCAGAACAGUGACACCAGGAGAUGGGAGGGAGAGGGAGGUAACGGCAGAGCCGGGCCGCAGUGCAGGGCGGCUGACUGAUGUCUACAAAAAGCAACCGGAGGAACCCGAGUUGCUGUUAAUUUGCAGACCAGGGAGGCUGAACACUGUUAAAACCCACCAAGUUCACUGUGUUCACGCCAUGUGCUUCCUUAACAGGGUAAUCUUAUCUUCUGGUUUUCAGAAUUCACGCAUAAUUAGUAGAGCGGAGAAAAGGAAAGAACAAAACACAGCUGUUUUCCAUGUUCUGAAGGACAUUACCUCCAAGGUUCCCUCUCAUGGCAAGAGGCUGAGGUCCUAUGCAACGAAGCCCAGGCAAGUAAAUUUAAGGAUUUCUCUUGGUUAA